CCUACGGGAGGCAGCAGUCGGGAAUUUUGCACAAUGGACGAAACUCUGAUGCAGCGACGCCGCGUGCAGGAAGAAGGUUUUCGGAUUGUAAACUGCUUUAGACAGGGAAGAAACACGACAGUACCUGUAGCAUAAGCUCCGGCUAACUACUUGCCAGCAGCCGCGGUAAUACGUAGGGAGCCAGCGUUAGCCGGAUUUAUUGGGCGUAAGGGGUGCGUAGACGGGUAUAUAAGUUAGUUGUGAAAGACCUCCGCUCAACUGAGGAACUGCAACGAAAACUGUAAGUCUUGAGGGCGGGAGAGGAAAGGGGAAUUCCUAGUGAAGCGGAGAAAGGGGUAGAUAUUAGGAGGAAAACAAGUGGCGAGGGCGAC
This 371-nucleotide ribosomal RNA is filed under the name uncultured bacterium. RNAcentral describes it as "partial 16S ribosomal RNA". It matches the Rfam family "Bacterial small subunit ribosomal RNA", at positions 338 to 725 of the family's 1533-position model. The record is from RNAcentral.